Molecule: unclassified non-coding RNA, 376 nt
Filed under: soil metagenome
Description: partial contains 5.8S ribosomal RNA, internal transcribed spacer 2, and large subunit ribosomal RNA
Rfam family: 5.8S ribosomal RNA (bases 1-120)
Source: RNAcentral
GAUGAAGAACGCAGCGAAAUGCGAUAAGUAAUGUGAAUUGCAGAAUUCAGUGAAUCAUCGAAUCUUUGAACGCAUCUUGCGCUCCUUGGUAUUCUGAGGAGCAGGCCUGUUUGAGUGUCAUUAAAUUCUCAACUACACUGACUUUGAAUUGGUGUGGCUUGGAUUUGGGGGGAAAAUUGUUGUGGGCUUUUUGUAUAGUCUGCUCCCCUGAAAUUGAUUAGCGGUACCUUUGUGGAACUGUCUACAGGUGUGAUAAUUAUCUACAUCUUAGACAUCUGCUGGAAUGCUGCUUUCUAAACCUUACUUGUAUUGACAAUCUUGACCUCAAAUCAGGUAGGACUACCCGCUGAACUUAAGCAUAUCAAUAAGCGGAGGA